RNAcentral lists this ribosomal RNA (513 nucleotides) under uncultured bacterium. RNAcentral describes it as "partial 16S ribosomal RNA". It matches the Rfam family "Bacterial small subunit ribosomal RNA", at positions 28 to 523 of the family's 1533-position model. The record is from RNAcentral.
GAUGAACGCUAGCGGCGUGCCUAAUACAUGCAAGUCGAGCGAACAGAUGAGAAGCUUGCUUCUCUGAUGUUAGCGGCGGACGGGUGAGUAACACGUGGGUAACCUACCUAUAAGACUGGGAUAACUCCGGGAAACCGGGGCUAAUACCGGAUAAUAUUUUGAACCGCAUGGUUCAAUAGUGAAAGACGGUUUCGGCUGUCACUUAUAGAUGGACCCGCGCCGUAUUAGCUAGUUGGUAAGGUAACGGCUUACCAAGGCGACGAUACGUAGCCGACCUGAGAGGGUGAUCGGCCACACUGGAACUGGGACACGGUCCAGACUCCUACGGGAGGCAGCAGUAGGGAAUCUUCCGCAAUGGGCGAAAGCCUGACGGAGCAACGCCGCGUGAGUGAUGAAGGUCUUCGGAUCGUAAAACUCUGUUGUUAGGGAAGAACAAAUUUGUUAGUAACUGAACAAGUCUUGACGGUACCUAACCAGAAAGCACGGCUAACUACGUGCCAGCCGCCGCCGUAA